Molecule: ribosomal RNA, 479 nt
Filed under: uncultured bacterium
Lineage: Bacteria
Description: bacterial SSU rRNA
Rfam family: Bacterial small subunit ribosomal RNA
Source: RNAcentral
GAUUAUGGCUCAGAACGAACGCUGGCGGCAUGGAUAGGCAUGCAAGUCGAACGGGAGCAGCAAUGCUCCAGUGGCGCAAGGGUGAGGAACACGUGAACAACCUGCCUUCGAGUUGGGGAUAGCUUCUGGAAACGGGAGAUAAUACCGAAUAACAUCAUUUUCUCGCAUGGGGAUUUGAUCAAAGCAGCAAUGCGCCUGAAGAGGGGUUCGCGUCCCAUUAGCUAGUUGGUGAGGUAACGGCCCACCAAGGCGAUGAUGGGUAGCUGGUCUGAGAGGACGAUCAGCCACAUUGGGACUGAGAUACUGCCCAGACUCCUACGGGAGGCUGCAGUCGAGAAUUUUGGGCAAUGGACGAAAGUCUGACCCAGCCAAUGCCGCGUGCGGGAUGAAGGUCUUCGGAUUGUAAACCGCUGUCAAGAGGGACGAAGAUUGACGGUACCUCUGGAGGAAGCCACGGCUAACUACGUGCCAGCAGCCGC